Molecule: long non-coding RNA, 541 nt
Organism: Lethenteron reissneri (Far Eastern brook lamprey)
Lineage: Eukaryota; Metazoa; Chordata; Hyperoartia; Petromyzontiformes; Petromyzontidae
Source: RefSeq, a predicted model, not a curated record
UGGAAAUCGGUCAUUUUGUUUGGAACAUCUUGGAUUGUACACUGAUGCCUUGUUCGAUGCGGAGAUCGCUAUAUAUCUAAACCCAACAUGGCCCCGGGGAUACUUCAGACAAGCGCGGGCUUGCAUUGGACUGAAGCGUUACAGAGAGGCAGAAAGUGCGUUAUGUCAGCUGAUUUCUUUAAAUGUGUCUUCUGAAGAAGCAAAACAAGAGCUUAGGAAAGUGCGAACACUUCUCCUUGUGGAGAUGGGCUUUCCACAGCAGCAGUCGGAGGCUGCAAUCUUGGAGUACGACACGGUGUACGCCGCUUCAGAAGCACUGCUUCGAAACACAGGUUCCUUGUCAACAUCCGGUGUGGGCAACGUGGGGAUACAGAAUGAUAAACCACCAAGUCCUCAGCCUACUGUAGAUGUCGCCGCACAGAGGAGCCAAGACUCACGUGGUGCUUUGGGCAAUUCUCCAGUGCCUCCACCACCUUCGUGAGUAACGCACCAUCGCUGUGACACUUGAAUCCGUAGCGUAAUGUCAUGGUUUUGCUUGAUA